UCAGAAAGGAAAUUCCUAGGACAUGUCACAUUUCACAGGAUAGAGAGAUGCCAUUUCCACUGCAAUUCGGAAUGGAAGCAAGUCUGGCCUCAUUCUUUAUCUGGGAACCUCCGUAACCGUCCCUUCCAACAACGCUGAGGUUUGAUGGCAAGGAGACUGUUAGCAACAGAAAAAGGCACAAUAUGGAUCCUCUGGGACUGUAACAGAAUGUAUGGGUGAGCAGCCUGGGGAGGACCAUUUUCAAACAUCCAGCAUCCAAGGGGCGAGAAGAGCUAAGCAGGAAGAGUACAUUUGAGCCAUUGUGCAGAGUCUCCCCCACCCCACCAUUAUUGCUCUUGUCUGCUUAAUAACGGGAUGUCACCUGGACUGUUCACCUUUAAGCUGGAGGCCCAGACAUGCUUCCUCUAUUUCAUUAUCCAGUGACCUCUCCCAUCAGCAGCCUGUGGCUGUGAAUUCUUUAUCCCUGUGAACGUGGCUGCCAUGUGUGAUUCUGACGGAAGACGGCAAGAAGCCCUGGGCUGGGGCAGCAGGUGCAAGCUUCCAGGGAGCACGCCUUUUCCCCGGCAGGUCUGAAGUGGGAAGGGAGAAUCUACCAGGUCCAGAAGCUGUCCAGCUGAGACCACGGAAACUCUGGAACCACAGGACUGCAAGCCUGGUUGCCUGGGUGGGAGCGGAAUCUAGACACAGGCGGGAUUGAGGCUGCCUUUGUGUCUUCACAUAAACCCGCCUGCAAGGCCCAGCCAGCGCGGCCACUAAGCAGGAAGCCUCCAGCUCCCUUUCUUGGUCUGCAUUGGACACGCUAGAACUAGAAACUUCUGAAAGCCCAUGAAAGGUAAGACUACCUUGUUCCAGUUUACCAGCCCCCCCCUCCCCCCCCGCCACGCUCCAACUAGGAUUCCGAGGAAGAGCUAAUCCUUUGCGUGACCCUUGCCCCUAGCUACCUCUUCCGCAUCUUCUGUCCCUCAUAUAGACUGUAUUGAAAGAUAGCUUUCAAAUAUGACUUCAGGCUUCCGGACUCCCCACGGGGUUCUCAGUUGUGCUGUAUUUGGUAUGUUAUCUGGGUCAUCCAAGUGCUUGAGCUCACUUGUAAUUUAUCAGCAAAGGUGCCUUCCUGCCACCUUCAAAAUCACCGGAGCUGGGCGGAUUUCAGCAGAGACUGGCUGCUUACAGCGCCUCUUUCUUUCCCCGGGGUUAGGAGCGAAACAACAGCACUUUCAUGCGUGCUCCUUGUGGUUAAUUGAUCCUGUUAACAUUAUCUUGGGGGAAAUCGAUGCUUCAGUCUUGCAGGAGACAUGUAAAUAAAGUGAUAAAAAAUAAACCAAGGCCAAUUGUUUCCUGAUGGGAAAAUGCGAGGUGAAU
This is a long non-coding RNA of Leopardus geoffroyi (Geoffroy's cat), 1359 nucleotides long. RefSeq lists it as uncharacterized. Lineage: Eukaryota; Metazoa; Chordata; Mammalia; Carnivora; Felidae. The record is from RefSeq and is a predicted model, not a curated record. The transcript has 4 exons.